UGUGGGGUAUGGCCACCNGCUUUGACGGGUAGCUCGGCCUGANAGGGUGACCGGCCCACUGGGACUGAGACACGGCCCAGACUCCUACGGGAGGCAGCAGUGGGGAAUAUUGGACAAUGGGCGGAAGCCUGAUCCAGCAACGCCGCGUGAGGGAUGACGGCCUUCGGGUUGUAAACCUCUUUCAGCACAGACGAAGGGUGGUGACGGUAUGUGCAGAAGAAGCACCGGCCAACUACGUGCCAGCAGCCGCGGUAAUACGUAGGGUGCGAGCGUUGUCCGGAAUUAUUGGGCGUAAAGGGCUCGUAGGCGGUUUGUCGCGUCGGGAGUGAAAUCCACUGGCUUAACUGGUGGCUUGCUUUCGAUACGGGCAGACUGGAGGUAUGCAGGGGAGAACGGAAUUCCUGGUGUAGCGGUGAAAUGCGCAGAUAUCAGGAGGAACACCGGUGGCGAAGGCGGUUCUCUGGGCAUGUCCUGACGCUGAGGAGCGAAAGUGUGGGGAGCGAACAGGAUUAGAUACCCUGGUAGUCCACACCGUAAACGUUGGGCGCUAGGUGUGGGAUCCAUU
Molecule: ribosomal RNA, 565 nt
Filed under: uncultured Nocardioidaceae bacterium
Lineage: Bacteria; Bacillati; Actinomycetota; Actinomycetes; Propionibacteriales; Nocardioidaceae
Description: bacterial SSU rRNA
Rfam family: Bacterial small subunit ribosomal RNA
Source: RNAcentral